This 652-nucleotide ribosomal RNA is filed under the name Glomeromycotina sp. AB-2014. Its description in RNAcentral is "SSU rRNA". It matches the Rfam family "Eukaryotic small subunit ribosomal RNA", at positions 359 to 1016 of the family's 1831-position model. Lineage: Eukaryota; Fungi; Glomeromycota. The record is from RNAcentral.
GUAACGGGGUGUUAGGGCACGACACCGGAGAGGGAGCCUGAGAAACGGCUACCACAUCCAAGGAUGGCAGCAGGCGCGCAAAUUACCCAAUCCCGACACGGGGAGGUAGUGACAAUAAAUAACAAUACGGGGUCCUUUCGGGUUUCGUAAUUGGAAUGAGUACAAUUUAAAUCUCUUAACGAGGAACAAUUGGAGGGCAAGUCUGGUGCCAGCAGCCGCGGUAAUUCCAGCUCCAAUAGCGUAUAUUAAAGUUGUUGCAGUUAAAAAGCUCGUAGUUGAAUUUCGGGAUUAGUACGUCGGUCGUGCCUUAGGUACGUACUGGUGUUACUGGUUCCUACCUUCUGACGAACCAUCAUGUCAUUAAUUUGGUGUGGCGGGGAAUCAGGACUGUUACUUUGAAAAAAUUAGAGUGUUUAAAGCAGGCUCGCGCUUGAAUACAUUAGCAUGGAAUAAUGAAAUAGGACGUUGACCCUAUUUUGUUGGUUUCUAGGAUUGACGUAAUGAUUAAUAGGGAUAGUUGGGGGCAUUAGUAUUCAAUUGUCAGAGGUGAAAUUCUUGGAUUUAUUGAAGACUAACUACUGCGAAAGCAUUUGCCAAGGAUGUUUUCAUUAAUCAAGAACGAAAGUUAGGGGAUCGAAGACGAUCAGAUACC